UACGGAGGGUGCAAGCGUUAUCCGGAUUCACUGGGUUUAAAGGGUGCGUAGGAGGGCAGGUAAGUCAGUGGUGAAAUCUCCAAGCUUAACCUGGAAACUGCCGUUGAUACUAUCUGUCUUGAAUAUUGUGGAGGUGAGCGGAAUAUGUCAUGUAGCGGUGAAAUGCUUAGAUAUGACAUAGAACACCAAUUGCGAAGGCAGCUCACUACUCAAUCAUUGACUCUGAGGCACGAAAGCGUGGGGAUCAAACAGG
RNAcentral lists this ribosomal RNA (253 nucleotides) under uncultured bacterium. RNAcentral describes it as "partial 16S ribosomal RNA". It matches the Rfam family "Bacterial small subunit ribosomal RNA", at positions 524 to 776 of the family's 1533-position model. The record is from RNAcentral.